Molecule: non-coding RNA, 258 nt
Organism: Pelobates cultripes (western spadefoot toad)
Lineage: Eukaryota; Metazoa; Chordata; Amphibia; Anura; Pelobatidae
Source: the annotation of a GenBank genome assembly
UUAAAAACUAUAACUCCUACAGUGAAGAGCUUUAUAUUGUGAGAAUCACAAGACCCAGACCUACAUUUUGAUGCAUAGUAUGUCUCUGAAGUCUUAAAAUUGAAGGCACAGUCGCAGUUUAGAAAUUGCACUUCAAAUUUGAGCUUUGCAGAGUGAAGUUUCAAUGAAUGUCAAUGGACGGCGUUGGUUGCAAACAAAUGGUCAUAUUGUGAAAACUAUCAGGACUACGGCUUAGCCGUUGACAUGUUUAGUGGCAGC